AAAUUGAAGAGUUUGAUCAUGGCUCAGAUUGAACGCUGGCGGCAGGCCUAACACAUGCAAGUCGAGCGGCAGCGGAAAGUAGCUUGC
RNAcentral lists this ribosomal RNA (87 nucleotides) under Enterobacter asburiae. RNAcentral describes it as "partial 16S ribosomal RNA". It matches the Rfam family "Bacterial small subunit ribosomal RNA", at positions 1 to 87 of the family's 1533-position model. RNAcentral also lists the same sequence under 5 other names. Lineage: Bacteria; Pseudomonadati; Pseudomonadota; Gammaproteobacteria; Enterobacterales; Enterobacteriaceae. The record is from RNAcentral.